AGAACGAACGCUGGCGGCAUGCCUAAUACAUGCAAGUCGAACGAACACUUCGGUGUUAGUGGCGCACGGGUGCGUAACGCGUGGGAAUCUGCCCUUGGGUUCGGAAUAACAGUUGGAAACGACUGCUAAUACCGGAUGAUAUCGAAAGAUCAAAGAUUUAUCGCCCAGGGAUGAGCCCGCGUAGGAUUAGCUAGUUGGUGAGGUAAAGGCUCACCAAGGCGACGAUCCUUAGCUGGUCUGAGAGGAUGAUCAGCCACACUGGGACUGAGACACGGCCCAGACUCCUACGGGAGGCAGCAGUGGGGAAUAUUGGACAAUGGGCGAAAGCCUGAUCCAGCCAUGCCGCGUGUGUGAAGAAGGUCUUCGGAUUGUAAAGCUACUUAAGUGGGAG
This 391-nucleotide ribosomal RNA is filed under the name uncultured soil bacterium. Its description in RNAcentral is "bacterial SSU rRNA". It matches the Rfam family "Bacterial small subunit ribosomal RNA", at positions 26 to 444 of the family's 1533-position model. The record is from RNAcentral.